GCUGCAUGGCUGUCGUCAGCUCGUGUUGUGAAAUGUUGGGUUAAGUCCCGCAACGAGCGCAACCCUUAUCCUUUGUUGCCAGCGAUUAGGUCGGGAACUCAAAGGAGACUGCCAGUGAUAAACUGGAGGAAGGUGGGGAUGACGUCAAGUCAUCAUGGCCCUUACGACCAGGGCUACACACGUGCUACAAUGGCGCAUACAAAGAGAAGCGACCUCGCGAGAGCAAGCGGACCUCAUAAAGUGCGUCGUAGUCCGGAUUGGAGUCUGCAACUCGACUCCAUGAAGUCGGAAUCGCUAGUAAUCGUGGAUCAGAAUGCCACGGUGAAUACGUUCCCGGGCCUUGUACACACCGCCCGUCACACCAUGGGAGUGGGUUGCAAAAGAAGUAGGUAGCUUAACCUUCGGGAGGGCGCUUACCACUUUGUGAUUCAUGACUGGGGUGAAGUCGUAACAAGGUAACCGUAGGGGAACCUGC
This 475-nucleotide ribosomal RNA is filed under the name Salmonella enterica subsp. enterica serovar Infantis. Its description in RNAcentral is "bacterial SSU rRNA". It matches the Rfam family "Bacterial small subunit ribosomal RNA", at positions 1040 to 1515 of the family's 1533-position model. Lineage: Bacteria; Pseudomonadati; Pseudomonadota; Gammaproteobacteria; Enterobacterales; Enterobacteriaceae. The record is from RNAcentral.